AUUGAACGCUGGCGGCAUGCCUAACACAUGCAAGUCGAACGGAGGUAGGGGCAACUCUACUUCAGUGGCGGACGGGUGAGGAAUGCGUCGGAAUCUACCCUAUGGUGGGGGAUAACACAGGGAAACUUGUGCUAAUACCGCAUAAUGUCGAGAGACCAAAGCAGGGGACCGCAAGGCCUUGCGCGAUAGGAUGAGCCGACGCCCGAUUAGCUAGUUGGUAGGGUAAAGGCCUACCAAGGCGACGAUCGGUAGCUGGUCUGAGAGGAUGAUCAGCCACACUGGGACUGAGACACGGCCCAGACUCCUACGGGAGGCAGCAGUGGGGAAUAUUGGACAAUGGGCGCAAGCCUGAUCCAGCAAUGCCGCGUGUGUGAAGAAGGCCUGCGGGUUGUAAAGCACUUUUGUUCGGGAAGAAAUCAUGCUGGUUAAUACCUGGUAUGGAUGACGGUACCGAAAGAAUAAGCACCGGCUAACUUCGUGCCAGC
RNAcentral lists this ribosomal RNA (485 nucleotides) under uncultured bacterium. RNAcentral describes it as "bacterial SSU rRNA". It matches the Rfam family "Bacterial small subunit ribosomal RNA", at positions 30 to 512 of the family's 1533-position model. The record is from RNAcentral.